AACGCACAUUGCGCCCCUUGGUAUUCCGAGGGGCAUGCCUGUUCGAGCGUCAUUACACCACUCAAGCUCAGCUUGGUAUUGGGCCCUCGUCCCCCGGGACGUGCCUCAAAAUCAGUGGCGGUGCCGCCUGACUUCAAGCGCAGUAAUUCAUAACCUCGCUUUGGAAGCUCGGGACGCGUGCCGGCCAUACAACCCCCAUCUUCAAGGUUGACCUCGGAUCAGGUAGGGAUACCCGCUGAACUUAA
This 245-nucleotide unclassified non-coding RNA is filed under the name uncultured fungus. Its description in RNAcentral is "partial contains 5.8S ribosomal RNA, internal transcribed spacer 2, and large subunit ribosomal RNA". The stretch from base 1 to 52 matches the Rfam family "5.8S ribosomal RNA", at positions 103 to 154 of the family's 154-position model. Lineage: Eukaryota; Fungi. The record is from RNAcentral.